Acipenser ruthenus (sterlet) is the source of this 2995-nucleotide RNA transcript. It is a transcript of the gene named vinculin, with no coding region annotated. The record is from RefSeq and is a predicted model, not a curated record. The transcript has 4 exons. Lineage: Eukaryota; Metazoa; Chordata; Actinopteri; Acipenseriformes; Acipenseridae.
GAAAGACCUGCAGUGCAGAUGAUGUCAUUGUUUGAAUCAGCUGACAUGUGGUUGCUAUGCUACACUGCUGCUAGCUUUGCAGGCCUCUUAAACCUUGGAGCAAGGAUACACAACAGAUCAAACAAUUAAACACCAGCUUAGCAACUCUACACAUCAGGUUGGCAGAAAUGGCAACUCUUUUAGAAAGCGGGGUGACUUGCAUAAUAAAAGCCAAGUCUAUUGAGAGAGUAAUUGCUCCCAUUGCGGCACAGGUCUGCCAUUUAAUCAUCAUAAGUGAAUGGGGGGACUCUGACGGGAAAUUUGCACAUUUAGAGGAAGAAGCUGAAGAGGUGGCGAAAGUUACUAAACAAUUGGCACUUGUUGCUUCCAGACUAGCUGAAGAGUCUGAAGAUGACAUCCUGAGAAAGGAAAUGGGCCCAGCAAGGGAGCUGGUCGUCAUUUCGGGAAACAACAUGUUGUUGGCGGCUCAGAAAUUAUGCAUUCAACCUCAGUACCCACAGCACAGAGAGGAACUCAUCGCCUCUGCUAAAGAUGUCUUAAUGGGAACUCUAAAGGUUAGUGUAAAACUGACAGCAGCAGGAACACAUCACAUCUUAGCAUAGUUUACAACCUAGAAUACAGAAUGAUAUGGCCCACAGCAAGUAUUCGUGAAAAGUGGCCAUACCCUGAGUACCUUGUAAAAAUCCAUCUUACUGAACUGACUGCUUACUUCAUUGCUUGGACUAUUGUGCAUAUUGAAUUAAUCCUUUAACUGGUCAAGAACUGCAGGGCUAUUAGGCAAACAGUAGGAAAGGAAAUAAGCUGGAUGAAAAACAUAUCUAACAACCUUUGGCUGCAUUUGAAUACAAGCCUUGAAUAGGUGUACCUUUGCCCUGAGAACUCAAACAAAAUGUGUAUAAAAUACAUUGAAAGUUAUUACAUUAAGUAGAAAGUUUUGAUAACCUGUUGAACAACAGAUUUUAACAAUGUUUCAAUGAGUUGAUUCAAAAGUUGAUGUAUACUGUAUGUGAUGGGGUCAGGUAUUAUCCCGCCGUUAGUAGGGGUUCCUUAAAUGAACUUGUUAUCUCGGAAGGAUGAGUGGCAAAACGAUCUUGGUCCCCACCCCCAACACUAUUUGUUCCUCUUUACCCUACCAGUCGCUUCACUAUAUAUCCAUGGGUAUGUGCCCUGUUCUGUGCAUACUUCUAAUCACGUCAAUACAACUUCACCUUAUUUGGGCAAGGCAGGGCUCAGGAUUUAGUUACGCGGUGGCUACUUGAGUUAACAGUGAUAGUAAAUAGCAAAUAUGAAUUAGAUAAUCCCUCCCUCCCAAGUCUUACAGAACAGGUAAGACACCCCUACUCCAAGAUACAAUUAAUUACAGACUUAAAACACUUCUAUUAAUAAACACUCUUAUACAAAAGUAUACAUUUCAAAUUACUAUAAUCAUUUAUUCUUAUAUUUGGAGAACAUAUGUUUCUGUAAAACUCUCAAUCAAUAUUUGACAAAUCAAAAAUAGCAGUGAGAAUUUCUUACACUGUUUAGUAUAUCAUUAUUUUAAAGGCAGAUCACUAAUAGCAACUUCAUUUGAUACAUUGCUUGUCAUCUUUACAAGUGAGUCUAUUAGUAUGACAAUUGUGAUGUGAAUGUUAACUCCUGUUCUCAAUUAACUGGAACAAGCUAACCUGUCCUACAGCUCUAUUUAAGACCCAGCCAUACACUCAGUCUUUGUUGAGUACAUUUUUGGAAAGACAAGGAGGGCGACUGGGAGUGUUAGGAUUUGGAGAGUUUUUGAAGGAUUGCUUGGAUUUUGGACCUGGACAGGAACGGAGAACCGUGAUCACGUGAUUGACCCUGGACUGGAUGAGGAACGGAGGAAUGGAAUAAAGACAGUUUUUCUUGCUUUUUGACCACGAACUUUGCCUUUAAGUGCCACAAUGUCAAGUAAGACCUCAGUCUUUGAUCACUUUGAGCCACGUGAAGGUAGUAAAGUGGAAAACCAUUGUGCUAUAUGUAAACAAUGCGGAACAUCUGUCUCUGGUUCAGCAAAAGCUACUUCCAACUUCAUAGGGCACCUCAAAAGAAAGCACACUGACAUCCUGGGGAGUUUGCUGAUCAAUCUGGCCAGACUUCAGACCCUAAGAAGUGGGAGGCCACAGAUCCUCGCCAAGUGAAGCUUACCAACAACAUUGUUAGCUUCAUUGCUAAUGAACUCGUGCCCCUGUCUGUUGCAGACAGCACAGCCUUUCGCGACAUCCUUAGCAUGGCUGAAUCACGCUUCACCAGGCCCAGCAGCAAACACCUCAGCCAGAAGCUACUUCCUCAAUGCACCUCCGGUGUCCAAGAUCAACGGAGGAGUCAAAUGCAGCAAGCCCAGGACAUCUACCUCACCAUAGCUCUGUGGUCAAGUAGAGAUAUGAAGUCCAAAAUUUGCAUCAUGGGCCACUUCAUUGUGAACUACACCGCUGACUAACAAGGUCACCUACCUGCUACCAAGAGUUGCUGACAUGGCUACAUCCCCUCCACCAAAGACACGCAUCAAACUCUUUUCAUAUAUGACCAACCGCUCCACUGAAACCUGCAGCAGUAUCUCCACCACAGACGCCGCUUCAGAAAUAUCAGACUACCUGAGCCAACCCUGUUUGCCAGAAGAUUGUGAUCCUCUGGCUUAUUGGAAAGGAAAACAGAUGGAGUUCCCCCAUUUAGCCCAACUAGCUUAAGCAUCUAGCCAUACCUGCUUCAUCUGCACCUAUAGAAAGACUCUUUAGUGUGGCAGGCAAAGUUUUCAGGCCUGAGUGGUGCAACCUAAGUGAUGCAAAAUUUGAAGAGCUUAUGAUGAACAGGUGUAACAGAAUUACUAAGUGAUGAUAAUCUUUAUGGCUGUAUGCAUAACUUGAUAUUUUCUUUUUGAGGCAAUACAUGGUUUAUUUUCUUUUGUAUUUGAAUGUGCACAUGCACAUUGUACUGUAAUAAAUGUAAAUUACCAUUAUUGCUGUUAAAAGUGGCAAUAACAAUA